Molecule: long non-coding RNA, 1471 nt
Organism: Drosophila ficusphila
Lineage: Eukaryota; Metazoa; Arthropoda; Insecta; Diptera; Drosophilidae
Exons: 2
Source: RefSeq, a predicted model, not a curated record
ACGGCGCCUGUAGCGACCAGAUAGUUUAGUUCGGCCUAGAAGCAUGCUUUAAAAUAUAUCUAAGCUCGGCUUAGUGUCUUAGCUAAUUACACAUAUGUUUGCUAAAUCAGCUGUAACAGAGAUGCAGUGGGAAGCUCGUCUUAGACAUCUGGUGUUAUCAUCUGUGGCGAACUUCCGACCAUACCCUAGCCUAACACUACCUAUAUUUGGUAAGGUUCUUUUCUGACUGACAUCCGAUAUAAGCAGACGUGCCUUUUGCAUUACUCCAACAAAGUUUUUAUUUAAAAAUAUUAUAUAUUGAAAUCGUGGAAAAUAAUAAGAGGAAUAAGUGCAGCGAGCCUAGCUGAAUAAUAUUUUUGUGAUUAAUUUUGGAAAACUAUUGCGAUAUAUAUAUGAUAUAUAUAUUUCUCACGUGGCCAUCAAUAUUGGCAUCCGUGGGAGCACCCCUUCAAGACAGUGGGGGGCAUGAUUGUAUAUCGUGCCCCAAAUUAAAUCGGAUAAGGAAAAUUAAGGAAUAAGAAUCGGAAUUAAAGGAAAAAUAAGGAGUUUCAACUGGAAUUAAAUUCAAGAAUGCAGCAUUAAAGAAGUGAUUUGGAGAGAUGUUUAACCCUCUCUACCCACGGCAGCAGCAGCAGCAGAUUUAGUAUAGCCAAAUAUGGACACAAAAGGGAAUGUAUAACCUGGAAUUUCUUUUAAGCCGCUACUGCGAUUUUUUUUAAAGUGAAAUAUUAUAAUUAAAAAUUUGAAAGUUUUGAAACGUGCCAAAGUGAAGAAAAUUUAAUGAAUCAAAGAUAGCAACAUGCCGUAAAAAUCAAGUUUAAGUGAUAUUUUCUAAAGUCUGAAUGAUUCAGUCUAAAACGUAAUAUUUAAAUUAAAUUAAAUUUAAAACUUAAUUUUUCACGAGUGGAGUUAUUUACGCAUCGAUUUUGUUUUGGAAAAUUCGCUCAACUAUGACUUAAAAGCGAUAAAUUAAAUAUUUAUUUUUUUUUUGUAAAUUUAAAUAUAAUUUGAAAAUAGCAACUUCUGAUAAGAAACAAUAGUGAAUAUUAAAUUUAAAAAUGUGGUUAAGUGAAGAUAUCACAGUCGCUUCUCAGUAAAAUAUGUAGGCCUAAAAGGGUUCCAAGUUAAAAGAUUUUUAUAGAAUAGUUUUGUGUUUUCGAGCCCCAAUUUCACCCUUUACAGCCACCUGCCCGGGAGAUCGAUCUUUCGCCGCUGGAACAACGUAUAAGCUGUGAGUUUAUUAUUCUCAUUAUUGCAUUUAUAUCUAUUCUAUUUAUAUCUUAUUGCGAAAUACUCUAUGAAAUAAUUUUUAACAAUCUACUUGAAUGAAACUGUGAAUUUAAAAGAACCCUGAACCGAUAGCCUCACUAAACUAAAUUAAAUUAAACAAAAAGAUAUCAAACAGAAUGAAGAUGAUUUAGUGAAAUAAAAAAAUAAAUUAAAGCAAUGAAAUUUAAAUAUCUAUUGUUAU